This 2930-nucleotide ribosomal RNA is filed under the name Escherichia coli. Its description in RNAcentral is "bacterial LSU rRNA". It matches the Rfam family "Bacterial large subunit ribosomal RNA". Lineage: Bacteria; Pseudomonadati; Pseudomonadota; Gammaproteobacteria; Enterobacterales; Enterobacteriaceae. The record is from RNAcentral.
GGGUUGUGAGGUUAAGCGACUAAGCGUACACGGUGGAUGCCCUGGCAGUCAGAGGCGAUGAAGGACGUGCUAAUCUGCGAUAAGCGUCGGUAAGGUGAUAUGAACCGUUAUAACCGGCGAUUUCCGAAUGGGGAAACCCAGUGUGAUUCGUCACACUAUCAUUAACUGAAUCCAUAGGUUAAUGAGGCGAACCGGGGGAACUGAAACAUCUAAGUACCCCGAGGAAAAGAAAUCAACCGAGAUUCCCCCAGUAGCGGCGAGCGAACGGGGAGCAGCCCAGAGCCUGAAUCAGUGUGUGUGUUAGUGGAAGCGUCUGGAAAGGCGCGCGAUACAGGGUGACAGCCCCGUACACAAAAAUGCACAUGCUGUGAGCUCGAUGAGUAGGGCGGGACACGUGGUAUCCUGUCUGAAUAUGGGGGGACCAUCCUCCAAGGCUAAAUACUCCUGACUGACCGAUAGUGAACCAGUACCGUGAGGGAAAGGCGAAAAGAACCCCGGCGAGGGGAGUGAAAAAGAACCUGAAACCGUGUACGUACAAGCAGUGGGAGCACGCUUAGGCGUGUGACUGCGUACCUUUUGUAUAAUGGGUCAGCGACUUAUAUUCUGUAGCAAGGUUAACCGAAUAGGGGAGCCGAAGGGAAACCGAGUCUUAACUGGGCGUUAAGUUGCAGGGUAUAGACCCGAAACCCGGUGAUCUAGCCAUGGGCAGGUUGAAGGUUGGGUAACACUAACUGGAGGACCGAACCGACUAAUGUUGAAAAAUUAGCGGAUGACUUGUGGCUGGGGGUGAAAGGCCAAUCAAACCGGGAGAUAGCUGGUUCUCCCCGAAAGCUAUUUAGGUAGCGCCUCGUGAAUUCAUCUCCGGGGGUAGAGCACUGUUUCGGCAAGGGGGUCAUCCCGACUUACCAACCCGAUGCAAACUGCGAAUACCGGAGAAUGUUAUCACGGGAGACACACGGCGGGUGCUAACGUCCGUCGUGAAGAGGGAAACAACCCAGACCGCCAGCUAAGGUCCCAAAGUCAUGGUUAAGUGGGAAACGAUGUGGGAAGGCCCAGACAGCCAGGAUGUUGGCUUAGAAGCAGCCAUCAUUUAAAGAAAGCGUAAUAGCUCACUGGUCGAGUCGGCCUGCGCGGAAGAUGUAACGGGGCUAAACCAUGCACCGAAGCUGCGGCAGCGACGCUUAUGCGUUGUUGGGUAGGGGAGCGUUCUGUAAGCCUGCGAAGGUGUGCUGUGAGGCAUGCUGGAGGUAUCAGAAGUGCGAAUGCUGACAUAAGUAACGAUAAAGCGGGUGAAAAGCCCGCUCGCCGGAAGACCAAGGGUUCCUGUCCAACGUUAAUCGGGGCAGGGUGAGUCGACCCCUAAGGCGAGGCCGAAAGGCGUAGUCGAUGGGAAACAGGUUAAUAUUCCUGUACUUGGUGUUACUGCGAAGGGGGGACGGAGAAGGCUAUGUUGGCCGGGCGACGGUUGUCCCGGUUUAAGCGUGUAGGCUGGUUUUCCAGGCAAAUCCGGAAAAUCAAGGCUGAGGCGUGAUGACGAGGCACUACGGUGCUGAAGCAACAAAUGCCCUGCUUCCAGGAAAAGCCUCUAAGCAUCAGGUAACAUCAAAUCGUACCCCAAACCGACACAGGUGGUCAGGUAGAGAAUACCAAGGCGCUUGAGAGAACUCGGGUGAAGGAACUAGGCAAAAUGGUGCCGUAACUUCGGGAGAAGGCACGCUGAUAUGUAGGUGAAGCGACUUGCUCGUGGAGCUGAAAUCAGUCGAAGAUACGAGCUGGCUGCAACUGUUUAUUAAAAACACAGCACUGUGCAAACACGAAAGUGGACGUAUACGGUGUGACGCCUGCCCGGUGCCGGAAGGUUAAUUGAUGGGGUCAGCGCAAGCGAAGCUCUUGAUCGAAGCCCCGGUAAACGGCGGCCGUAACUAUAACGGUCCUAAGGUAGCGAAAUUCCUUGUCGGGUAAGUUCCGACCUGCACGAAUGGCGUAAUGAUGGCCAGGCUGUCUCCACCCGAGACUCAGUGAAAUUGAACUCGCUGUGAAGAUGCAGUGUACCCGCGGCAAGACGGAAAGACCCCGUGAACCUUUACUAUAGCUUGACACUGAACAUUGAGCCUUGAUGUGUAGGAUAGGUGGGAGGCUUUGAAGUGUGGACGCCAGUCUGCAUGGAGCCGACCUUGAAAUACCACCCUUUAAUGUUUGAUGUUCUAACGUUGACCCGUAAUCCGGGUUGCGGACAGUGUCUGGUGGGUAGUUUGACUGGGGCGGUCUCCUCCUAAAGAGUAACGGAGGAGCACGAAGGUUGGCUAAUCCUGGUCGGACAUCAGGAGGUUAGUGCAAUGGCAUAAGCCAGCUUGACUGCGAGCGUGACGGCGCGAGCAGGUGCGAAAGCAGGUCAUAGUGAUCCGGUGGUUCUGAAUGGAAGGGCCAUCGCUCAACGGAUAAAAGGUACUCCGGGGAUAACAGGCUGAUACCGCCCAAGAGUUCAUAUCGACGGCGGUGUUUGGCACCUCGAUGUCGGCUCAUCACAUCCUGGGGCUGAAGUAGGUCCCAAGGGUAUGGCUGUUCGCCAUUUAAAGUGGUACGCGAGCUGGGUUUAGAACGUCGUGAGACAGUUCGGUCCCUAUCUGCCGUGGGCGCUGGAGAACUGAGGGGGGCUGCUCCUAGUACGAGAGGACCGGAGUGGACGCAUCACUGGUGUUCGGGUUGUCAUGCCAAUGGCACUGCCCGGUAGCUAAAUGCGGAAGAGAUAAGUGCUGAAAGCAUCUAAGCACGAAACUUGCCCCGAGAUGAGUUCUCCCUGACUCCUUGAGAGUCCUGAAGGAACGUUGAAGACGACGACGUUGAUAGGCCGGGUGUGUAAGCGCAGCGAUGCGUUGAGCUAACCGGUACUAAUGAACCGUGAGGCUUAACCUUACAACGCCGAAGCUGUU